UAUUCACUAUUUCACAUGAUAACAAAGGUAUUCAUGGAUACAACAUAUUAACUAUUUCACAUGAUAACAAAGGUAUUCAUGUAUACAACAUAUUCACUAUUUCACAUGAUAACAAAGGUAUUCAUGGAUACAACAUAUUAACUAUUUCACAUGAUAACAAAGGUAUUCAUGGAUACAACAUAUUAACUAUUGCACAUGAUAACAAAGGUAUUCAUGUAUACAACAUAUUCACUAUUUCACAUGAUAACAAAGGUAUUCAUGGAUACAACAUAUUAACUAUUUCACAUGAUAACAAAGGUAUUCAUGUAUACAACAUAUUCACUAUUUCACAUGAUAACAAAGGUAUUCAUGGAUAC
Long non-coding RNA from Eriocheir sinensis (Chinese mitten crab), 356 nucleotides. RefSeq lists it as uncharacterized. NCBI's taxonomy places the organism in Eukaryota, Metazoa, Arthropoda, Malacostraca, Decapoda, Varunidae. The record is from RefSeq and is a predicted model, not a curated record. The transcript is spliced from 5 exons.